RNAcentral lists this ribosomal RNA (495 nucleotides) under uncultured bacterium. Its description in RNAcentral is "partial 16S ribosomal RNA". It matches the Rfam family "Bacterial small subunit ribosomal RNA", at positions 28 to 507 of the family's 1533-position model. The record is from RNAcentral.
GACGAACGCUGGCGGCGUGCCUAAUACAUGCAAGUAGAACGCUGAAGGAGGAGCUUGCUUCUCCGGAUGAGUUGCGAACGGGUGAGUAACGCGUAGGUAACCUGCCUGGUAGCGGGGGAUAACUAUUGGAAACGAUAGCUAAUACCGCAUAACAGUAGAUGUUGCAUGACAUUUGCUUAAAAGGUGCAAUUGCAUCACUACCAGAUGGACCUGCGUUGUAUUAGCUAGUUGGUGAGGUAACGGCUCACCAAGGCGACGAUACAUAGCCGACCUGAGAGGGGGGUCGGCCACACUGGGACUGAGACACGGCCCAGACUCCUACGGGAGGCAGCAGUAGGGAAUCUUCGGCAAUGGACGGAAGUCUGACCGAGCAACGCCGCGUGAGUGCAGAAGGUUUUCGGAUCGUAAAGCUCUGUUGUAAGAGAAGAACGAGUGUGAGAGUGGAAAGUUCACACUGUGACGGUAUCUUACCAGAAAGGGACGGCUAACUACGUG